CUCCAGUUGAUCGCAUGGUCUUCUGGGAAAGCUUUCGCGGUAUGGGAUGGGGUCGCGUCCUAUCAGCUUGACGGCGGGGUAACGGCCCACCGUGGCCUCGACGGGUAGCCGGCCUGAGAGGGCGACCGGCCACAUUGGGACUGAGAUACGGCCCAGACUCCUACGGGAGGCAGCAGUGGGGAAUAUUGCACAAUGGGCGCAAGCCUGAUGCAGCGACGCCGCGUGAGGGAUGGAGGCCUUCGGGUUGUAAACCUCUUUUAUCGGGGAGCAAGCGAGAGUGAGUUUACCCGUUGAAUAAGCACCGGCUAACUACGUGCCAGCAGCCGCGGUAAUACGUAGGGUGCAAGCGUUAUCCGGAAUUAUUGGGCGUAAAGGGCUCGUAGGCGGUUCGUCGCGUCCGGUGUGAAAGUCCAUCGCUUAACGGUGGAUCCGCGCCGGGUACGGGCGGG
This 449-nucleotide ribosomal RNA is filed under the name uncultured Bifidobacterium sp. RNAcentral's name for it is "bacterial SSU rRNA". It matches the Rfam family "Bacterial small subunit ribosomal RNA", at positions 173 to 640 of the family's 1533-position model. The record is from RNAcentral. Lineage: Bacteria; Bacillati; Actinomycetota; Actinomycetes; Bifidobacteriales; Bifidobacteriaceae.